RNAcentral lists this transfer RNA (74 nucleotides) under Magnetovibrio sp. RNAcentral describes it as "tRNA-OTHER". It matches the Rfam family "tRNA". Rfam says of the family: Transfer RNA (tRNA) molecules are approximately 80 nucleotides in length. Their secondary structure includes four short double-helical elements and three loops (D, anti-codon, and T loops). Lineage: Bacteria; Pseudomonadati; Pseudomonadota; Alphaproteobacteria; Rhodospirillales; Magnetovibrionaceae. The record is from RNAcentral.
ACGUAUGUAACUCAGUGGUAGAGUGCCGGGACUUUCUAACCCGGUCGUCGCUGGCUCGAUUCCACUCAUACGUC